GGAAGUUUCAGGGCCACCAGCAGGGUUGGCCUGGUCCUCAGUGUGCUAGGUUCUUGGCAAGUCCCAUCCACUUGGGCAGGACAUGCAAGCACUGGUUAAGGUCACCGGCUCAUAGGGAGGACAGCCUGUGUUGGAACCUCACAGCUACCAAAACUGUGUGACCUUGGGCAAGUUACUCAAUCUCUCUGAGAAUGAAUGAGACUAAUAAUCGUGCCUCCCUCAUAGCAUUAUUUUAGGAUUCAAUAAGAUAAGGCAUAGGAAGCCCUUGGCAGUGAGUCGCACCUGGGCAGAGCUCAAUCAACGCACACUCUUAUUUUUAUUAUAUUACUACAACACCAGAGGCCUGCCUACAGUCCAGGAUGCCUCAAGGCACUGCAACUCAAAGCGUGGUCUGCCGUCCUGCGGCGGCGGCAGCAGCUGGGAGCCUACCCCACUUUACACCUUCUGAACCAGAAUCUCUGGGGUUGGGGCUGCAGUUUACCAAGCUCUCCCAUGAUUUAUAUGCUCGCAAAGUUGAGAACCACUGCCGUAAAGUGUCUUUGCGUUAACCUCAGCUCCAGACGGCAACGUCUCCAAGCCAUAACCUUGCAGCUGUGAGAAACGAAGGGAGGAAAGAAGAUAAAGCAGAAGCAGCGAGGUUUGGGGAGGGAGGCGUUGGUCCCUGGGGAUGCUCUCUGGCCACUGGGACCUAGACUCUGUUGAGAGGCGCCGGCGACUCUUUCCAUAAACCUGGGCAGACCCCUGAGCCACACCUGUCUGGAAGAUUUGAAGAUGCAAAGAAAGAGGACUCCGUCCUCCAGAGCUCCUCCCUCAGCCCAGUCCUCAUCACUGGCUCUGUCUGCCCGUGCGAUCCCAUUUGCGCCCAUCGCUUCGACCGUUGCGAGUCUACAUCUGGAGCCUUUACGUCUCUCGGGAACUCCAGGUAAGUACUUUUAAUCUCCGACAGCACUUUCUACCUAGAGGCCACUCAGUCACCUCUGACUUAAAAUGCCCAACACAGAUGCAGUUAUCUUCCUGUCUCACACCUGAUUUUCUCUCUGGGUUCCUUGUCCUGUUGAAUGACUUCUUCCACAUUUCCUUCCCCACCCCCACCACCUUACGCUCCAACUGCAUUCAACUAGCAGCACAUUCUCAAAUGUGUGCUGAAUUUUCCCAUCUCCAUGGCUUCAAUAUCACCUGCACCGGAAUCCUUCUCAGCUAAUGUCUACCCACAAAUUGCCUAAUUGUCCUUCUUCCUCUUUCUAGCAAAUGGCACCACUGUCCAUCUAGUUGCUGAAACCCCAAAUCUAGGCAUGUCCUAGCCUCCCUGCUUUUUCUCACCCAUAUCUAGCAGGACAGCAGCAAGUCUUGCUGUCUCUCUUCCACGUGGGUCUAGCAUCCCUCUCAUUCUUUCUAUCUUCUCUGCCACCUCCUUAACCCAAGUCACUAACAACUCUAACCCCCACUGUGAUGGAGCUUCCUAGCACGUCUCCCUGCCUCCAUCCUCUCUUCGCCCAGCAACUGGAACCAUCUUUCUAAACUACAGAAAAUAUCACUCCCCAGCUUUGACUCUGCCAAUCCACCUUUCCAUCUUUCUUAGAAUAAAAUCCAAACACCUAAUCUACAAGGACUUCCAUGAUCUGGGCCCCGUGGGGCUUUCUACCACAUCCACUCUCAUUUUGUCACAUGGGUCUUCAUUCUGUUCCUUAAACUCACCCAGCUCGUUCCCAUCUCAGGGCCUUUGCACUUGCCAUUUCCUCCCUCUGGGCUCUCCUCCCCCAGAUCUGCAUGUGGCUGACCCCUUCGACAUUUCGGGAGAAGACCGCCUACCCAAAAGAGCCCUUCCUUGUCACUUCCUAUCAUAUUAUUAGCUGAUGCCACUUUCUUUUCUUCUUAGCACUUAUUGGUCACUGAAAAUACCUUGUUUAUUUAUUUGUGUCUGAGAGCAGUGACUGUAGCUGCUGCUUGCCCAGUGCCUAGAACAGUGCCAGGUCAGAAUAGACACUCAGUAGACAUUGGUUGAAUAAAUGUCUGAAGUGCCUUUCCAAAUUUUCUAGUUAGAAUAAACUCCUUUGCCUUUCUACCUUGUGAUAGGUUGGGUUCUAAGGAAAUAGGCUCUGAGGCAGAGAUUUGCACGUGGGAAACGUUGUGG
Molecule: long non-coding RNA, 2131 nt
Filed under: Equus caballus (horse)
Lineage: Eukaryota; Metazoa; Chordata; Mammalia; Perissodactyla; Equidae
Description: lncRNA (ENSECAG00000044864.1)
Source: RNAcentral